GAAUGCCCCGUUUUUCGAAAUGGGUUCUAUUCCCAAACCGUGUAUACAUACCUUUGUUGCUUUGGCAGGCCGCCUUCGGGCGUCGGCUGACGCUGACCGCGCCUGCCAGAGGACCCAAACUCGUUUGUUUAGUGAUGUCUGAGUACUAUAUAAUAGUUAAAACUUUCAACAACGGAUCUCUUGGUUCU
Molecule: unclassified non-coding RNA, 188 nt
Filed under: rhizosphere metagenome
Description: partial ribosomal RNA internal transcribed spacer region
Source: RNAcentral